RNAcentral lists this long non-coding RNA (549 nucleotides) under Homo sapiens (human). Its description in RNAcentral is "long non-coding RNA NONHSAT216563.1". Lineage: Eukaryota; Metazoa; Chordata; Mammalia; Primates; Hominidae. The record is from RNAcentral.
GACGUGACUUGCUCCUCCUUGCCUUCAUCAUGAUUGUGAGGCUUCUCCAGCAACGUGGAACUGAAGUGACGGCAGCCCUGUGACUGUUAACCCGGAAAACUGCGAGAGGCUUUCCCAUGGAGGGGUCCUCACACCUGGGUUCACCCCUGCCGGAAGACACUGCUGCAUUGUGUGCAGCAGCUGCAAGGCCUGCGUGAUGGAAGGCGAGAGCCCCUGGCCGGCUGCCCUGGGGCCCCCGCAGCCUCGGAAGCCUGCCCACCUGCAGGUGUGGUUUGCACAGGACGGCACAUCCCUCCUCGUCCUGGGUUUAAGCUUAAACACACAGGUGGAGAGACCAAGGAGCUGAGGCGCUAAGGAGAUGACCUAAGGUUGCAAAGUGAAAAGCAAGGCCAAGGAGGGGCUUCAUUUCAAAUACCAGAUGCGGGGCCGGCCCUCCAUCCACUCCUCGGAACGCGGCACUCCGCGGCCUCCCGGGUAGACGGUCUCCACCACUACUUGCUUCUGUUCAUCUCUGACGGCAGAGUUAAAUAAAAUUAAUACUAUUAUUGA